CUACUACUAAGCCUGAAAAUUCUAUUAUAAAAAACACAAAACAGGGGGGGUAGUUUUUGUUGCUUUUUUUUUUUUGGCAAAAAAAAAGAACCAUCAAACAAGAAUUGCAUCUGCUCCUAGGCUUAGGCUGGGAUUAAACAUGAUUUAUGUGCAGUGUUUUUCAAAGCCCACAUUGCUUUAUUUUUUGUGGUUCCCCCCUUCGACAGACGUCUGUGCUGCUGUUGCAAAGCUACAAUUUCAAGCAUGCCCAGGGCAUGCUGGGAGUUGUAGUUUUGCAACAGAUGGACAGCCACAGGGGAUCAGUGGUGAUGUAUGUCUAUCUAGGACCAUGGUGUCUGAUCUUGAACUGGCUAAAUCAGUGGCUGCCGGGCUGUCUGACGAGUGACAUCCUUCGCUCCAGACCACAACGUCAGGGAUGUCACUCGUCAGACGUCCCGGCAGCCAGCGCUGCUCAUUGAGCCUGCCAGAGCCGCACUGAUCUGUGUAAGAAACCUAUGGGCCCAGGCUGUUGGGGCCACCAAAUUAUAUUACAAAUACUGAGUGUCUGGUUAGGAGAAACAAGUAUAUUACACCCACAGGGAGUAGCGCCAUUUUAAUAAAAAAUUGCCCAAAAUCCCUUAGAUAACAGUCAUACAGAAUAUAUUAGAAAGCUUUUUUGUUUUUCAGCCAAUCGGAGAGCAGCACUACUGAAAUAGAACACUCAGGAGGUAACAGCGUGUCACACAUGUGAUGUCAUAACCAUUGUCCACCAGAGAGCAGCACUGAGCAGAUAUAACACUGCUCCUGCUCAUUCUUCAUCAGUGAGGGGCUGAUGCUGGACACUGUAGGGGCCGAGAAUGCAAAGUCACAUACACUACUGUGACUGAUAAUCUAUCUUUUGUUUUCCUAUCUUAGAUGCACUAUUUCCAGGAUGUGGAGUAGCAUUUCCGGACCUACAGCAAGACGUUGGAUGAAGACGUAGAUUUCCAGACCUAUUCCAGAAUAAUUUGGAUGAAGGCACAGCCCCUCGAAUCACGCACAUACACAGACACAUUUGCCCAAAUUCUAGAGGUAACCUCCUUUAGUAUGCCCAGAGGAAGGGCAAUACAGUAGCCAUGGAUUCCCUACAGGUUUCCUCCCCUCUGGAGGUUUUUCCUGUCCUGAGUAUUAGUUACUGUACGCUCUUUGUGAGUGAUGGAGGUUACAAAAAAUCCCCGACACAAACAUUUUUAUAUAUAAUAAAUAAAGUUCCCCUUUUUAAACCA
Molecule: long non-coding RNA, 1244 nt
Organism: Hyla sarda
Lineage: Eukaryota; Metazoa; Chordata; Amphibia; Anura; Hylidae
Exons: 2
Source: RefSeq, a predicted model, not a curated record